AAUACGGAGGGGGCUAGCCUUGUUCGGAAUUACUGGGCGUAAAGCGCACGUAGGCGGCUUUGUAAGUCAGAGGUGAAAUCCCGGGGCUCAACUCCGGAACUGCCUUUGAGACUGCAGAGCUUGAAUCCAGGAGAGGUGAGUGAAAUUCCGAGUGUAGAGGUGAAAUUCGUAGAUAUUCGGAAGAACACCAGUGGCGAAGGCGGCUCACUGGACUGGUAUUGACGCUGAGGUGCGAAAGCGUGGGGAGCAAACAGGA
RNAcentral lists this ribosomal RNA (256 nucleotides) under uncultured prokaryote. RNAcentral's name for it is "partial 16S ribosomal RNA". It matches the Rfam family "Bacterial small subunit ribosomal RNA", at positions 522 to 777 of the family's 1533-position model. The record is from RNAcentral.